Gastrolobium bilobum is the source of this 79-nucleotide small nucleolar RNA. RefSeq annotates it as small nucleolar RNA snoR117. NCBI's taxonomy places the organism in Eukaryota, Viridiplantae, Streptophyta, Magnoliopsida, Fabales, Fabaceae. The transcript has a single exon. The record is from RefSeq and is a predicted model, not a curated record.
GGCCUGUGAUGCAUGAAUAAUUUGUCCGUACCAUCUGAGACUUCUCUGAUGUAUACUCCAAUUCUUGAAUCUGAGGCCU